UUGCAGAAGACCGGGUGGUCUUGUCAUCAAGAAACCGCUUUUAGUUGUGAUAUUUUUGUAUACUUAAUUUAUUAAAAAAUUUCAGUUUAACAAAGUCUCAUGGUGGCAUUAGAGUCACAUAUAAAAGCUAUAAGAUAAUCAAAAGAGCUGAAUUUGAUACACAUAAAUAUAUGAUUACAUUGUUAUAUUUAAUAUAUUGACUGACAUGUACGAAUUAUAAAUAAAAUCUAACAUAUACUUUGCUUUGAAGUUAAAUUUAUUGGUUGUUUUUUUUAGUUAUUAGUUUUAAUAUGCGUUUGUAAAAUUGUUUAUGCCUAGAACAAGUUUUUUUAAAUAAUAUUUUCAGAAAAUUACGGUAAUGUAAUUUUGUAAUUGUAGUGUUUUUAGAUAUAAGUUUGUUGUAGAAAUAAGAGCCGUGAUAAUAAGUUUGUUGUAGAAGUAAGGGCCGCGAAAUAAAGAAACAUGAUAGUUUUGUUUUUUUAAUUGGUAGAUUAAAAUUCACAACUUCUUGAGUAUCAUCUUUUUCUACUGCAUUUAAAAAACUCUUCUGAAAAAUGUAGUGGGAGAAGUCCAAGUUUAUGUUGAACAUGAACAACAAGCAUGUUUUUGCAGCAUGUUUUUGAUGUCGAUAGAGUGCCACUAGGUUAGAUCUAUGGGCAUUUGCCCAUAGAUCUAUGGGUAAAUGCCUAUGCUAUAUUUCCAUACGUAUAAUAGGUUUGAAUAAAAAGGAAAUAAAGUUGCUUUAGUUUUUUUUGGAGUAAUGUUGGCCUAGCUUUGUAAAUCAUACAAAUGUUGCUUCUUAUUUUUGUAUUUAAAAAGUUUAUGUAGGCUUUCCAUGAAAUAUUCUCAUCGAUAAGUAUCCCUAACAAUUUUGUUGCUUUGGUUCUUUUCGAUUAUUUUAUUUUCUAUUUUUAGAAAUGGUAACAUAUUUGGUAAAGAUUUUUUUCUUUGAUGGAAUGGAAUAGAAUGUAGAUAGUUUUUUCUGAAUUCAAUGAUAAUUUGUUAGAUUUUAACCAAGUAUUAAGUUUUUCAAGUUCAAUACUUGCAGUUUCAAAUAGUUCUGUAACAGAAGUAGAUGAAUAAAAUAAAUUAGUAUCAUCUGCAAACAUUAUGGCAUCGAGCUUGUUUGAGACUUUUGAAAGAUCAUUAAUUUAUAGAUCAUUAAAUUAAAUAAGAGUAAGGAAGCUAAAAUGGAACCUUGAGGAACUUCGCAUUUAAUUUUAAGCAAUUUUGAAUGGAUAUUUUAUCCGUAAUAACAGAUUGCUGUCUGUUUAUAAAAAAACUCUCAAACCGUUGUAAAGCUACAUUUUUAAUGCCUUUUUUUCCGAUCUAUAGCAUGAUCAACAGUACCGAAUGCUUUUAAUAGGUCAAUAAAGAUUCCUAGAACAAAUUUGUUAUUAUCAAAAGAGUCAUUUAUUUUAUUUACAAGAUCUAAUAUCGCAUGUUCGGUUGAAUGUUGCUUUUGAAAUCCGAAUUGUUUUUUGUUCAAGAUAUUGUUAUUAGUUAGGUAUUUAUAUAGUUUAUUGUCAACUAUUCGUUCUAGAAGUUUAGAAAAGACUGGAAUGAUUGAGAUGGGUCUGUAGUUAUAUUAGUGAAAAAGGCUCUACGGCUUUAAAUAUUGGUACGACUUUUGCAAUUUUUAAUUUGUCAGGAACAGUUCCUGUUGUAAUUGAAAAUUUGAAAAUUUUGAAUAUGGGUUUACGUAUCACCGGGAAGACACUUAUUACUAAAUUGCUACAAAUCUCAUCGAUCCCUGGUGCUUUGUUAAUCUUUAGAGUUUUUUGCACCAUCGAGUUCAUCAUAACUUAGACAAUUGAAUUUUAGUUCGUUAUGUUAGGUCUGUAAUAUAGGUUUCAAAAUAGGUUUUUGGGCAUUGAAUUUUGGACACCAUGUUAGGGCCGAUGUUUGCAAAGAAACUGUUGAAAUGUUCGGCAAUAGAGUUUUUAUCGUAGUAUUCUUCUGUAUUUCAUUCGCAACAAUUCUAUCAGGUAAGAUAUUUGUAAUGGUAUUUUUUGUCCUGAUUAUUUCUUUCAUGAUGUUCCAUGAUUUUUUAAUAUCACCAUUGGCAUUUUGAAGUAGUUUUGAAUAGUAUAUUUUUUUAAAGUUUUUUCUUAUUUUUUCAAAAAGAUUUUUAUAUUGCUUGUAGAUACACUCUAAAAACAGUCCGUUAAAAAAAGUAACGGAUUGCGCUUUUUCGUUAAAUUAACGGAUUAAUUCGUUACCAAAAACCAGAAAAUUAACAGAGUAAAAUUAACUAUUUACGGAUUCUUUGAAAUUUCGUUAAUUCAACGGAUUAAAUAUUCUAAUCGGUUAAAAAAAAAUUUUUCAGAAUAUUAUAGCUUUUUAUUUUGAAAAUGAUAAAGUUUUGAAUGUGUUUUUCUCACAUUUACAUUUACAUCGUAGAUAAAAGUUGGUUGCAGUAAGUGUAAUAUGCCAUUUUUUAAAAAGCUUUACAUUUAGUAGACACAGCAAAUGGAUAAAUAUAAUUUAAAUUAGGCUCUGUUAUUUGUAAUUUCGAAGGUUAUUUAGAUUAUUUUAAAUUUUCUAUAUAAAGCUUUAUAUAGAAAAUUUAACAAUAAUGUUUAUUUUGUUUUAAAUUAAAAGCCAUUUGUAUUACUAAAUAAUAUAUAAUAACAUAUAUGGUAAGUUAAUACAUACUAUAUAUGGUAAGUUACUACAUGUCUAAAUCUAGAAAAUUAUCCAAGAAUAUAUGCAAUCCAUAUAGUCUAUAUUAUAGAAAUAAAAGUUCAACUAAUCCUUUACUAGUAGUAAAGGGUUAGUUGAACAAUUAUUUCUAUAAUAUAGACUAAAUGGAUUAUUUAUAGUCUUUUUUAACUUUAUAUUUUAGACAUAUGACAUGUAGUAACAUACCAUAUUAGUUUAAAUCAGUUGUAAAAUUAAAAAUGUUAACAUCUUUGAUAGGUAUAUUUAUUUAGGUUAGUUAUAGCUAAGUUUACAUGGCUAAUUAAUAUGCUUUUAUAAAUUGCAAUUUUUAUUAAUUUCCAAAUUAAACAUGUGUCAUCCAAUAUCAUAAACGAAGUUUAUACUGGUGUGUUUAUAUUAUUUUAGAAUUUUUUGUUUUAGACACAUGGCAUUUGCUAUCCCACUGUAAGUUAAAACUAGUUGUAAAAUUAAAAAAUUUAUAUAAGAACUUCUAUUUCUUUUUACAUUCAUGUUUAUUUAAUUGAGUUACAACUAAGAUAAUAUAUGAGCUAUUUAUACUAUCUUAGAAUUUGCUGCUUUAGAGGCACGUCAUUUAAUGUCACAUUACACGUGGCAUGUGGUAUCACACUACACUUGGUAUAAGCUGUCAUACUAAUUUGCUGUUUUAGACACGUGGCUUGUGAUAUCUCACUAAUUAGCUAUUUUAAACAUGUGACAAGUGUUAUGACACUAUGUUGAUGUACGUAAAUCGUAUAGAGUCUUUCAGUUAUCAGAUAAUGUCAAGAAUUGACAGCAUGGUAUCCGAUUUAAAGUGCGAACCUGUGUACGAGUAACAACAGUAUUCAAAACCAAAACCUAUUUAAACCAACCAAACCAAAACUAGCAACCAAAAACUAAUAUCUUGGCAUUGGUUUAUUUUUAACAUCUAUUAUAUAUAUGUGUGUGUUUUAUAUAAAUGUACUAGCUUGAGU
Long non-coding RNA from Hydra vulgaris (swiftwater hydra), 3635 nucleotides. RefSeq lists it as uncharacterized. The record is from RefSeq and is a predicted model, not a curated record. Lineage: Eukaryota; Metazoa; Cnidaria; Hydrozoa; Anthoathecata; Hydridae.